This 75-nucleotide transfer RNA is filed under the name Bacteroidota bacterium. RNAcentral describes it as "Bacteroidetes bacterium tRNA-Met". It matches the Rfam family "tRNA". From Rfam's summary of the family: Transfer RNA (tRNA) molecules are approximately 80 nucleotides in length. Their secondary structure includes four short double-helical elements and three loops (D, anti-codon, and T loops). The record is from RNAcentral. Lineage: Bacteria; Pseudomonadati; Bacteroidota.
UGCGGGGUGGAGCAGUGGUAGCUCGUCGGGCUCAUAACCCGAAGGUCGUAGGUUCGAGUCCUGCCCCCGCUACUA